This 468-nucleotide ribosomal RNA is filed under the name uncultured bacterium. Its description in RNAcentral is "partial 16S ribosomal RNA". It matches the Rfam family "Bacterial small subunit ribosomal RNA", at positions 28 to 507 of the family's 1533-position model. The record is from RNAcentral.
GACGAACGCUGGCGGCGUGCUUAACACAUGCAAGUCGAACGGAAAGGCCCUGCUUUUGUGGGGUGCUCGAGUGGCGAACGGGUGAGUAACACGUGAGUAACCUGCCCUUGACUUUGGGAUAACUUCAGGAAACUGGGGCUAAUACCGGAUAGGAGCUCCUGCUGCAUGGGGGGGGUUGGAAAGUUUCGGCGGUUGGGGCUGGACUCGCGGCUUAUCAGCUUGUUGGUGGGGUAGUGGCUUACCAAGGCUUUGACGGGUAGCCGGCCUGAGAGGGUGACCGGCCACAUUGGGACUGAGAUACGGCCCAGACUCCUACGGGAGGCAGCGGUGGGGAAUAUUGCACAAUGGGCGGAAGCCUGAUGCAGCAACGCCGCGUUCGGGAUGACGGCCUUCGGGUUGUAAACCGCUUUCGCCUGUGACGAAGCGUGAGUGACGGUAAUGGGUAAAGAAGCACCGGCUAACUACGUG